ACUCCUACGGGAGGCAGCAGUGGGGAAUAUUGGACAAUGGGCGAAAGCCUGAUCCAGCCAUGCCGCGUGUGUGAAGAAGGUCUUCGGAUUGUAAAGCACUUUAAGUUGGGAGGAAGGGUUGUAGAUUAAUACUCUGCAAUUUUGACGUUACCGACAGAAUAAGCACCGGCUAACUCUGUGCCAGCAGCCGCGGUAAUACAGAGGGUGCAAGCGUUAAUCGGAAUUACUGGGCGUAAAGCGCGCGUAGGUGGUUUGUUAAGUUGGAUGUGAAAUCCCCGGGGCUCAACCUGGGAACUGCAUUCAAAACUGACUGACUAGAGUAUGGUAGAGGGUGGUGGAAUUUCCUGUGUAGCGGUGAAAUGCGUAGAUAUAGGAAGGAACACCAGUGGCGAAGGCGACCACCUGGACUAAUACUGACACUGAGGUGCGAAAGCGUGGGGAGCAAACAGGAUUAGAUACCCU
This 462-nucleotide ribosomal RNA is filed under the name uncultured bacterium. RNAcentral's name for it is "bacterial SSU rRNA". It matches the Rfam family "Bacterial small subunit ribosomal RNA", at positions 335 to 788 of the family's 1533-position model. The record is from RNAcentral.